GCUUACGACCAUCUCACCCUGAAUGCGCCCGAUCUCGUCUGAUCUCGGAAGCUAAGCAUGGUCGAGCCUGAUUAGUACUUGGAUGGGAGACUGCCUGGGAAUACCAGGUGUUGUAGGCU
Molecule: ribosomal RNA, 119 nt
Filed under: Petromyzon marinus (sea lamprey)
Lineage: Eukaryota; Metazoa; Chordata; Hyperoartia; Petromyzontiformes; Petromyzontidae
Source: RNAcentral